GCCGAUAUAGCUCAGUUGGUAGAGCAGCAUAUUCGUAACAUGCAGGUCAGGGGUUCAACUCCCUUUAUCGGCACCA
This 76-nucleotide transfer RNA is filed under the name Orientia tsutsugamushi. RNAcentral's name for it is "tRNA-Thr(cgt)". It matches the Rfam family "tRNA". From Rfam's summary of the family: Transfer RNA (tRNA) molecules are approximately 80 nucleotides in length. Lineage: Bacteria; Pseudomonadati; Pseudomonadota; Alphaproteobacteria; Rickettsiales; Rickettsiaceae. RNAcentral also lists the same sequence under 2 other names. The record is from RNAcentral.